This 500-nucleotide ribosomal RNA is filed under the name Phyllodytes sp. 2 BLB-2020. RNAcentral's name for it is "partial 12S ribosomal RNA". It matches the Rfam family "Bacterial small subunit ribosomal RNA", at positions 784 to 1522 of the family's 1533-position model. The record is from RNAcentral. Lineage: Eukaryota; Metazoa; Chordata; Amphibia; Anura; Hylidae.
ACCCCACUAUGCCCUACCGUAAACUUUAAACUACAUUUUCAUCGCCUGGGAACUACGAGCAAAGCUUAAAACCCAAAGGACUUGACGGUACCCCACAUCCGCCUAGAGGAGCCUGUUCUAUAAUCGAUAAUCCCCGUUUAACCUCACCAUUUUUAGCCUAACAGCCUGUAUACCUCCGUCGUCAGCUUACCACGUGAGCGAUUCUUAGUGAGCUUAAUGUUUAUACACCAACACGUCAGGUCAAGGUGCAGCAAAUAAAAUGGGAAGAAAUGGGCUACACUCUCUAUUUUAGAGUAUACGAAAAACUAUAUAUGAAACCUAGUUAGAAGGAGGAUUUAGUAGUAAAAGGAGACAAGAGAGCUCCUUUUAACACGGCACUGGGGUGUGUACACACCGCCCGUCACCCUCUUCGAAGCCAACAAAAAGUUCAUAACACAUUCAAGCCUAAGAGAAGAGACAAGUCGUAACAUGGUAAGUGUACCGGAAGGUGUACUUGGAAA